GGCUAGUAGAAAAUGAUAUGGCAACUGAUGCAGUUAAAAUGGCUUUUUUUUUUUUUUUUGUGACUUUCAGAAAUACAUGGGAGAUUGCAUGUGAAACAUUCCUGAAAUGAACUGUGUCAUUGUGUCAUUUUCCUCUGCUGAGAACAACUCUAACCUGAGGUACAAUGCAGGAAGGAUCUGUAGCCAGAUGCCAGUGGGAGGAAGAUGACACACCAGCUGGAUGUUUGGUUUAUCAGGCAAGGCUGAAAUGGCACACCUGGGAAGAUGGAAUAUGGGCCAUACUAAGCAUGUUUGCAGGUGAUGCUAAAUUAGGAGAA
Molecule: long non-coding RNA, 317 nt
Organism: Cygnus olor (mute swan)
Lineage: Eukaryota; Metazoa; Chordata; Aves; Anseriformes; Anatidae
Exons: 3
Source: RefSeq, a predicted model, not a curated record